GCAAAUUGGAGCUAAACUCUGCAGGACACCAGCCCUCCAAGACCAAGUUUGGUGACCCCUGCUCUAGCCCAGUGGUUCCCAGCACUGCACAUUUUGCUUCUCUCCUUUGUCUUGACACAACCAUUUCAGGUCUUGCAGUUUCUACUUAUAAGCUGAGGAUCUGAAUCAGGUGCAUCACCUCUGAUGCCGAAUAUGAGGAAUAUAAGAGAAAAAAAAGAAAAAAAAACAUUGAACAACUGAAGAGCUGAAGACAACAUAAUAAGAUCAGCGGGCGGUAACCUGUCAUGACCAUCUACACACUUCAUGCUCGGCCUAUAAUGUGAGAUGCUGGAGGUGUGUGAUUUUUGCAGAGGGCUUAACUUUGAAUGUCACAUUGAUCACACUUGCUGAUUCGGCUGUCAGGAACGUAAUUAAUGUCGCUUUGGAUGUUCUCAAACUGUCAUCGCUGCGGAUUCUGGUGAUUUUUGCAUCCUUGUCAUGGUGAGCAGAGCUGCAGGGCUUCCCAAUGUGAUUACCCUAAAACUGGCUGUGAAUCCUGCCAUGGAGAAAGUGAUUUGCUGGUGUGUUUGAAGUUGGCGGCAAAUUUAGGAAGCCUUUGAGUGGCUGUCUGAACUGAAUUUGACCCGUUUGUUUGUUCCAUCCUUCCGGUCUUUGGCGUUUGAUUAAAACUUCACAUUAGCCUUUGAUGAGAGCAGGCUUCUCCUUUGUAGCGCACGCUCCAUCUGGAGCACCGGCCACCAUACAGCUGCCAUCUUCAUUGUGACAUUCUCCCAUGCCCUCUGGCCACUGUUAAAGGGAUAGUUCGGCCAAAAAAUAAAAAAACAGUUGUCAGUGUACUAA
Carassius auratus (goldfish) is the source of this 840-nucleotide long non-coding RNA. RefSeq lists it as uncharacterized. The record is from RefSeq and is a predicted model, not a curated record. The transcript has 4 exons. NCBI's taxonomy places the organism in Eukaryota, Metazoa, Chordata, Actinopteri, Cypriniformes, Cyprinidae.